UACGUAGGGGGCAAGCGUUGUCCGGAUUUAUUGGGCGUAAAGAGCUCGUAGGCGGUUUGUCGCGUCUGCUGUGAAAACUCGAGGCUCAACCUCGGGCUUGCAGUGGGUACGGGCAGACUAGAGUGCGGUAGGGGUGACUGGAAUUCCUGGUGUAGCGGUGGAAUGCGCAGAUAUCAGGAGGAACACCGAUGGCGAAGGCAGGUCACUGGGCCGCAACUGACGCUGAGGAGCGAAAGCAUGGGGAGCGAACAGG
Molecule: ribosomal RNA, 253 nt
Filed under: uncultured bacterium
Lineage: Bacteria
Description: partial 16S ribosomal RNA
Rfam family: Bacterial small subunit ribosomal RNA
Source: RNAcentral